AGGAAUUAGGCAAAUUGGAUCCGUAACUUCGGGAGAAGGAUCGCCACUGUAGGGUAAGGUUGACAAGCUUGACCAAGCCCGAAGUGGCCGCAGAGAAGUGGCCCUACCGACUGUUUACCAAAAUCACAGGUCUCUGCAAACGCGCAAGCGGAUGUAUAGGGGCUGACGCCUGCCCAGUGCCGGAAGGUUAAAGGGAGAGGUUACCCUGAGCGCAAGCGAAGGGGAAGCUUUGAACUGAAGCCCCGGUGAACGGCGGCCGUAACUAUAGACUGGACCGCUGUAGUUACGUUAAUAAAUCUGGCUAUAUGCUGGAAAACCCGGCGUAUCCUCCGGUACUCGCUCCAAUGGGAAGCAGUGACAAUCCGUGAGGUGCGGGCAAUCAGCAGGAAAGUCUCCCAUAGGAGACCUCCACAGGAGGUGUUGCAAUGGCUCUGAAUGUUAAGAGCAUCCUGCCUCACAUCGGCUACUAUCUGGCAGGGUUUGCAGAUGGAGAAGGAAGCUUUAAUGUUUCUUUCCGGCAACGCAAAGACUACCGGAUUCCAUGGAAAAUCUCUCUUUGCUUCAACGUUUCGCAAAAAGAUCGCGUCAUCCUGGCGCUGUUCAAACAGCAUCUGCAAUGUGGGACGUUACGAGGGAGAGGGGAUGGAGUCUGGUACUACGAAGUCAACAAUCUGAACGCCAUCUGUGAACAUGUGAUUCCGUUCUUUGAGCGGUUUCGGUUCCUGUCAGCGAAGAAGAAACGCGAUUUUGCGAAGUUCAAGAAAAUCGCCAACCUGAUGCAGGAAGGACGACAUCUUACAGGAGAUGGAGUGCGUGAAAUACUUCGUGUCAGAGCCGAGAUGAACGAUGGAGGGGUGGGGCGGCGCAAAUACUCUGAUGAAGAGAUACUGAGCCGUUUCGCCCAGGGAGAAUCCCCAGAGACCAUACGCCAGACAUCCGCUGAGUAGCAAGGAAACCGCCGAUUCAGCGAGAUGAUGAGAUGGUCCGAUCUCUGUGGCGACACAGAGGGUCUAGACAUCGGUCUAGACCGCGCGGACGGGGCAUGGCCUCGUCGGUCGUGUAACAUAAAUGAACGGUCCUAAGGUGACUUUCGUUGCCCCCUUCUCUAGCGAUGGAGAAGGUGCAUCCGGCUAUAUGCUGGAAUAUCUGAGUAUCCGGCGCUACUAGCGUUUUUAACGCAGUAACAAUGCGGUCGGUGCAGACAACCAGCAGGAAAGGCCAGCACAAGUUGGCUUCCUCAGAGACUAUACGCCGGACAUCUGGUAUAGUCAUCAGAUGAAGAUAUAGUCCGUACCCUAUGGCGACAUAGGGAGGUCGGCAGAAAUGACCGACCCGCUACACAAGUAGCGGUAACAGAGUAGAGCGAAAUUCCUUGUCGGGUAAGUAAAUUGCCCGUACCGGCUGGUAACGGUGAAGCCCGACCUCGUUGCGGUGCGCAAGGGCACCGUGCCAAAGAGGGGGUAAUACCGUGGGAAGUCGUCCUGAGUGAAGCGAAGGACUGACCCCGUAACGACUGAAUCCGCAUCAAGCGGAUGAGACAGUGGUCACUGCUUUAUGGCAAAUCUACGACCUCUGUCAUACGCCGGUGUCUCUCCCGGAGAGUGUGCCGAUGGAUGUUAAGUCUUAUCUUACCGGGUAUGCCGAUGGUGAAGGAUGCUUCUGCGUUUCCAUCAAUCGAAGCCAACGUCAUCGGUUUGGCUGGGAAAUUCGACCGAGCUUCUCGGUUAGCCAAAACCGUGACCGGGCUGAGGUGUUGGAGAUGCUGAAAGCAUACUUUGGUUGUGGCACUAUUCGGCCAGAUAGGUCUGAUAAAACUCUCAAGUACGAAGUUCGAAGUCUUGACGAUUUGAUUGAGAGGGUUAUUCGCCACUUUGAGGAAAACCCUUUUCUCUCUGGGAAGCGCCGUGAUUUUGAGAAAUUUGCCCGUAUUUGCCGUACGAUGCACGUCGGGCAACAUCUUAUCAAAGACGGCUUCAACCAGAUCGUUGACCUGGCUUUUGAGAUGAACCCAUCAGGCAUCAGGAAGUACUCCAAGAAAGAGAUAAAGAUAUAGUCUGCGCCCGUAGUAAUACGGGAAGCACGCGAAGUUCCGACCCGCACGAAUGGCGUAACGAGUGGGGCACUGUCUCGACGAAGGACCCGGUGAAAUUGAAAUAGGCGUGAAGAUGCGUCUUACCCGCAGCAGGACAAAAAGACCCCGUGGAGCUUUACUGCAGCCUGGUAUUGUGUUAGGGCUGGAUCUGUGUAGGAUAGCUGGGAGACUGGGAAACUGGGGCGCUAGCCUCGGUGGAGUCGCCGUUGGAAUACCAGCCUGAUUCAGUUUUGACCCUAACCUGCGUCCGUGAUCCGGCGUGGGGACAGUGCCAGGUGGGCAGUUUGACUGGGGCGGUCGCCUCCCAAAAGGUAACGGAGGCGCCCAAAGGUUCCCUCAGGCUGAAUGGAAACCAGCCGUAGAGUGUAAAGGCAUAAGGGAGCUUGACUGCAAGACCCACAAGUCGAGCAGAGACGAAAGUCGGGCUUAGUGAUCCCACGGUUCCGAGUGGAAGGGCCGUGGCUUAACGGACAAAAGCUACCCCGGGGAUAACAGGCUGGUGGCGCCCAAGAGUUCAUAUCGACGGCGCCGCUCGGCACCUCGAUGUCGGCUCGUCGCAUCCUGGGGGGGAAGUACCUCCCAAGGGUUGGGCUGUUCGCCCAUUAAAGCGGUACGCGAGCUGGGUUCAGACCGUCGUGAGACAGGUCGGUCUCUAUCCGCUGUGGGCGUAGGGGAUUUGAGAGGAGCUGCUCCUAGUACGAGAGGACCGGAGUGGACCGACCGCUGGUGUGCCAGUUGUUCCGCCAGGAGCAUCGCUGGGUAGCUAAGUCGGGCAGGGAUAACCGCUGAAAGCAUCUAAGUGGGAAGCUCGCCUCAAGAUAAGAUCCCCCAUCCCGUGAAGGGAGUAAGUGCACUGGAAGACUACCAGUUUGAUAGGCGGCAGGUGUACGCACAGUAAUGUGUUCAGCCAAGCCGUACUAAUGCACGAGGGCUUAAUUCA
Molecule: non-coding RNA, 3032 nt
Organism: Anaerolineae bacterium CG2_30_64_16
Lineage: Bacteria; Bacillati; Chloroflexota; Anaerolineae
Source: Rfam